UAUAUAUAUGAACCAAUAUCACCAGCAUUGUCUUUGUUAUCUACGAAUAAGAAAGGACCAGCGUCAGCCACCAGCAGCUCACCCGGUUUUGAUAUAAGAUUUAGUGACAGUGAAAAAUCAUCUCCUCUCAUGAUUCAGAGGCAAAAAAUCUUUCGUGUAAUCGUUUGCCACACGAUACGCCGUUAGCAUAUGUACCAAGUAGGAGCCCAAAAAAAGUCUAGAGAGCUUUACAAUACGAUUCAACCGAUAGCAGUGUAAAAAAUGAUUCGGAGGAAUUAGCUCGAGACUGGUUUGUGAAGUUUUGAAUUCAAGUUGCAUUACUGGAAAGGUACAUAUACCACGACCUGGCAACCCUUUAUGGUUACGAGCAAAGAUGGUGAAAUACCUUGGACAGACACUCUUCUAAAAGAUUCAGUCAUUCUCUGCUCGUUCGAACUUGACGAUAACAGACAUCUCCAAGAAAAUACCAGAAAAUAUUUAAAACGGUGGUAUCGGGAGGAAGCUAAAAGGGCUAAGGGUCUGGAUUAAUUUAAAAAACAAAAUAUUUUCUACGCUUGUACCUAUAAUUAUACAGACGCAAGAUGCUAAAUUUUUAAGUGCAGAACCAUUGGAGAAUAUUACCCUCAAUAUCAUUAUCGCAUGCUAACUAAAAUGUAUGCCAACAUUCAAAUGACUCAUUUAUCUUCAGGAAUAAUCACUGAUAUGAAUAAUAAAAACUCCCUAAGUAUGGACUGCAUUGUUUUGAGCUUUUAUAUUAACCCAUUGUAGAUACAGUGCACUACGUUACUCGGGCACCCCUAUAUGUCUCUCACGUUGAGAUAUAGCUAGGGGUUUCCGAAAUUCGGACACCCUUAUAUGUCUCUCACAUUUAGAUAUAAGGGUUCCGAAAUUCGGACACCCCUAUUUGUCUCUCGCAUUGUGAUAUAGGGUUUCC
Molecule: long non-coding RNA, 934 nt
Organism: Dendronephthya gigantea
Lineage: Eukaryota; Metazoa; Cnidaria; Anthozoa; Malacalcyonacea; Nephtheidae
Exons: 3
Source: RefSeq, a predicted model, not a curated record